GACGAACGCUGGCGGCGUGCUUAACACAUGCAAGUCGAGCGGUAAGGCCCUUUCGGGGGUACACGAGCGCGAACGGGUGAGUAACACGUGGGUGACCUGCCCUCAGCUCUGGGAUAAGCCUGGGGAAACCGGGUCUAAUACUGGAUAUGACUCCAUGACGCAUGUUGUGGGGUGGAAAGCCUUGUGCGGCUGAGGAUGGGCCCGCGGCCUAUCAGCUUGUU
This 221-nucleotide ribosomal RNA is filed under the name uncultured bacterium. RNAcentral describes it as "partial 16S ribosomal RNA". It matches the Rfam family "Bacterial small subunit ribosomal RNA", at positions 28 to 250 of the family's 1533-position model. The record is from RNAcentral.